UACGGGGGGGGCAAGCGUUGUUCGGAAUUACUGGGCGUAAAGGGUCUGUAGGUGGCUUGCUAAGUCAGACGUGAAAUCCCUCAGCUUAACUGGGGAACUGCGUCUGAGACUGGCGAGCUUGAGGGCAGGAGAGGAACGCGGAAUUCCAGGUGUAGCGGUGAAAUUCGUAGAUAUCGGGAGGAACACCAGUGGCGAAGGCGGCGAUCUGGGAAGAUACUGACGCUGAGGUGCGAAAGCGUGGGGAGCAAACAGG
Molecule: ribosomal RNA, 253 nt
Filed under: uncultured bacterium
Lineage: Bacteria
Description: partial 16S ribosomal RNA
Rfam family: Bacterial small subunit ribosomal RNA
Source: RNAcentral